GGAAGUAAAGGUCGUAACAAGGUUUCCGUAGGUGAACCUGCGGAAGGAUCAUUAUCAUGUAAUUCAGUCCCCUUGGCUGUGUUAUAUAUAUACCCACUCUGUGUACCUUCUCCUGUUGCUUCCGCUGGGUGUGUAAUUCGCCCGGCUGAAGGGUAAAAAUAACCUCUGAGUAUUGAUGAAAUCUCUGUCUGAACCGAAUAGAAAGAAAAAUGUUAAAACUUUCGGCAACGGAUCUCUUGGUUCUC
RNAcentral lists this unclassified non-coding RNA (245 nucleotides) under plant metagenome. RNAcentral's name for it is "partial contains small subunit ribosomal RNA and internal transcribed spacer 1". The stretch from base 1 to 54 matches the Rfam family "Eukaryotic small subunit ribosomal RNA", at positions 1778 to 1831 of the family's 1831-position model. The record is from RNAcentral.